ACUCCUACGGGAGGCAGCAGUGGGGAAUAUUGCACAAUGGGCGCAAGCCUGAUGCAGCAACGCCGCGUGAGCGAUGAAGGCCUUCGGGUCGUAAGCUCUGUCCUCAAGGAAGAAUAAAUGACGGUACUUGAGGAGGAAGCCCGGCUAACUACGUGCCAGCAGCCGCGGUAAUACGUAGGGGGCAAGCGUUUAUCCGGAAUCACUGGGCGUAAAGGGUGCGUAGGCGGUUUUUCAAGUCAGAAGUGAAAGGCUAUGGCUCAACCCAUAGUAAGCUUUUUGAAACUGUUAAACUUGAGUGCAGGAGAGGAAAGUGGAAUUCCUAGUGUAGAGGUG
Molecule: ribosomal RNA, 333 nt
Filed under: uncultured bacterium
Lineage: Bacteria
Description: bacterial SSU rRNA
Rfam family: Bacterial small subunit ribosomal RNA
Source: RNAcentral